Onychostruthus taczanowskii (white-rumped snowfinch) is the source of this 507-nucleotide long non-coding RNA. RefSeq lists it as uncharacterized. Lineage: Eukaryota; Metazoa; Chordata; Aves; Passeriformes; Passeridae. The record is from RefSeq and is a predicted model, not a curated record. The transcript is spliced from 3 exons.
CUGUUUCCCCUCAAAACCAGCAGCUUCCCUGUGUUUUUCAAACACCAAAAGCUGUAAAAAACCACGAUGACAUCUAUUUAUGUUACAUAACUGCAAGCCCUGAGUGCAAACUGCUCCCAGAUACAACUUCCCCCUGCUGCUGCUCUCCCAGGCACCCUCAAGUGGAGGGGAAACUACCUUUAAAAAGGUUUUCCCAGAAAACUGGCUCACAGGAAAACCUACUUCCAUCAAGAGCUGAGAGUGCCCCAAGUGAUGGGAACCCUCAUGAGAAGCUGGAAUUGGAAUUUUUCCCCUGGCCCAGCCAAGAGGAUAUUUCACAGAGAGCUUUUCUUCAGCAUCAGGAGAGAAGUACUAAUGUGACUUUAUUGGCCUGGAGAGACAGGACUACAAGCAAGCGCAAUAUGCACACAAAAGUCCAGACAACUGAAACUUCCAUGGAGUUUUCUGUUGAAAAACCUGCUGAUUUUUCUGUAAAAAAAAAAAAAAAAAAAAAAAAAAAAAAAAAAA